This 547-nucleotide long non-coding RNA is filed under the name Oryza brachyantha (malo sina). Its description in RNAcentral is "long non-coding RNA (OBRA_LNC001713)". Lineage: Eukaryota; Viridiplantae; Streptophyta; Magnoliopsida; Poales; Poaceae. The record is from RNAcentral.
AGAGAUGAAUGGUAUCUUCUCUAAUUUCUAUUGAUGUAGCUCAUUCUCCUGUUGCAGUGAUAAUGCAUACAUUGUUCCUGUAUGAUUCAUCUUAAAUUUUAUACUUGAUAUCCAUUAAUCAAAAUCACCUAAUAAUUUUUCAUGAGCCAUGUGCUGAUCUAUGUCUGCUACACAUAAUCCAGGCGGGGUUGAUGGCACUGAUGCUUAGGUGGACUGAUCACACGAGAUGGCUAGGCCUCCCCUACUCAUGAAGGUCUUGGCUGCUGGCUCUUAUAUGUAUUAAUAAUGUUAUAACAUAUGUGAGGCUGUCAGCGGUUUUAAUUUACCCAUGGUAGGUUUUGUAACUUCUCACAUGGUGAUGCUGUUGCUAGUAGUAAUAAUACCUAUACUAUUCUUGGCGUGCAAUGUAAUGGGCAUUGAAAAAGGCUUCUCCAACUUGUGUAAUGUAUUUCCCUAUCAGAUUAAGAUGCAUUUCUGUUAUCAUUUGGUUUUGUUCGUGCAUGUAUUUCCCUUGCUGACUGCAGGCGCGCAUGCACUAGAGAUUGCU